CCUACGGGAGGCAGCAGUAGGGAAUAUUGCUCAAUGGGGGAAACCCUGAAGCAGCAACGCCGCGUGGGGGAGGACGGUUUUAGGAUUUUUAACUCCUUUUUUGAGAGAAGAUAAUGACGGUACCUCUCGAAUAAGCACCGGCUAACUCCGUGCAAGCAGCCGCGGUAAUACGGAGGGUGCAAGCGUUACUCGGAAGCACUGGGCGUAAAGAGUGCGCAGGCGGGCUUGUAAGUCAGAUGUGAAAUCCGGUAGCUUAACUACAGAACUGCAUUUGAAACUGUGUGUCUAGAGUGUAGGAGAGGUAGGUGGAAUUCUUGGUGUAGGGGUAAAAUCCGUAGAUAUCAAGAGGAAUACUCAUUGCGAAGGCGACCUACUGGAACAUUACUGACGCUCAUGCACGAAAGCGUGGGGAGCAAACAGGAUUAGAUACCCUUGUAGUC
This 440-nucleotide ribosomal RNA is filed under the name uncultured bacterium. Its description in RNAcentral is "partial 16S ribosomal RNA". It matches the Rfam family "Bacterial small subunit ribosomal RNA", at positions 338 to 795 of the family's 1533-position model. The record is from RNAcentral.